Molecule: transfer RNA, 62 nt
Filed under: Thremma gallicum
Lineage: Eukaryota; Metazoa; Arthropoda; Insecta; Trichoptera; Uenoidae
Description: tRNA-Ser
Source: RNAcentral
GAAAUACCACACCUUUAAGCCGCUAACUUAAAUUUUAGUGAAAAGUCUUCAUUAGUAUUUCU